GCCAGCAGCUAUAUCAUCCUCCACCUCAUAACUGGCAACCCACUGAAGCUCAGCAGGGGUGAGCCUCAUCAGUACCUGGAUGGGAGACCUCCUGGGAAAAACUAAGGUUGCUGCUGGAA
RNAcentral lists this ribosomal RNA (119 nucleotides) under Lepisosteus oculatus (spotted gar). Lineage: Eukaryota; Metazoa; Chordata; Actinopteri; Semionotiformes; Lepisosteidae. The record is from RNAcentral.